Molecule: ribosomal RNA, 350 nt
Filed under: uncultured bacterium
Lineage: Bacteria
Description: bacterial SSU rRNA
Rfam family: Bacterial small subunit ribosomal RNA
Source: RNAcentral
UGGGGAAUAUUGGACAAUGGGCGAAAGCCUGAUCCAGCCAUGCCGCGUGUGUGAAGAAGGUCUUCGGAUUGUAAAGCACUUUAAGUUGGGAGGAAGGGUUGUAGAUUAAUACUCUGCAAUUUUGACGUUACCGACAGAAUAAGCACCGGCUAACUCUGUGCCAGCAGCCGCGGUAAUACAGAGGGUGCAAGCGUUAAUCGGAAUUACUGGGCGUAAAGCGCGCGUAGGUGGUUUGUUAAGUUGGAUGUGAAAUCCCCGGGCUCAACCUGGGAACUGCAUCCAAAAACUGGCAAGCUAGAGUAUGGUAGAGGGUGGUGGAAUUUCCUGUGUAGCGGUGAAAUGCGUAGAUA